UACGGAGGGGGCUAGCGUUGUUCGGAAUCACUGGGCGUAAAGCGCACGUAGGCGGAUCUUUAAGUCAGGGGUGAAAUCCCGAGGCUCAACCUCGGAACUGCCUUUGAUACUGGGGAUCUCGAGUCCGGGAGAGGUGAGUGGAACUGCGAGUGUAGAGGUGAAAUUCGUAGAUAUUCGCAAGAACACCAGUGGCGAAGGCGGCUCACUGGCCCGAUACUGACGCUGAGGCACGAAAGCGUGGGGAGCAAACAGG
Molecule: ribosomal RNA, 253 nt
Filed under: uncultured bacterium
Lineage: Bacteria
Description: partial 16S ribosomal RNA
Rfam family: Bacterial small subunit ribosomal RNA
Source: RNAcentral